Molecule: long non-coding RNA, 344 nt
Organism: Nycticebus coucang (slow loris)
Lineage: Eukaryota; Metazoa; Chordata; Mammalia; Primates; Lorisidae
Exons: 3
Source: RefSeq, a predicted model, not a curated record
CUUUCUCUGGACAGUCUAGAAAAACUGCUCUCCAAACUGAGAUAGUGCCUGGAGACCAAAUAAUGACUCAAACAAAUACAGCUCUGUGAUUUAGUUAUUAGAUAGAUAUUAGAGGUUACUCACUGAGAACUCUCACUCCUAAUCAAGGCAAGGAUCCUCCAGGAACUCACCCCUGGGAAGAGGCAGUUCGGCCUCAUAGAGGAAAGGACACCAUCAGUCCAGCAAGAGAUUCUGGGCACCUCUCAAGCUUCUCUGGGCAAAUACAGCUGCUCUGUGGCCAUGAUCGACCAUCUGCAUCCCCUUGACCGUGAAUGGAUAGUUUUAAUUCAGUUUCUUCAAUCCAG